AGCACAAUGGCUGGCACUCUGAGGAAGCCGGACUCAUCCCGUGCAGGCCGCAUACACACUCCACUGCCCUUCCGGCCAAACAAGCCCGGACACGGGAGAGGGAUGAGAGUCGGGGAUGCCUAGCGGCGGGGAGGGAAGGGAUAGGCAAAAGGGAAGAAGAGCGGGCUGUGAUACCCGCUCGACGCCGUCAAACACUGCUCCCCGCGCUCCAGAGCCCGGGGCCCACCCGACGGCAGCGCGCCCCGCCACCGCGCAGCCGCCCCGGUCCCUUCUCCCGCCCGUCUGUAGUAAAACAAUCGCUCUCCCGGCGUCUGCGGCCGCUGCCAGCGGUUCUGACACUGCAGGAAUGCGCGGUCUGGGAAAGGCUCCGCACUCUGGGGAGGGGCACGAGCGGGGUCGGGGAAACUCCAAGAUGAAAGCGUGCAAUAACUACCAAUAUGGAUACCUCGCAGGGCCUGACACUAGUUUCUGGAUAAAAUGCAGGCGAUGGCUGCUGGCGGAUGCCGGCAGACACACUCAAAGACCCUUUUGGACUUUCCGAGUUUCCCAUUCUCCUCUACUGGAGGCUGAGGCGGGCAGGCCCAGCGACGUCUCCCAGCUCCAACUGGGUUCGGACCUCAAGCCAAAAAUGAGGAGGCCGGCAGGAGAGCUUUUCUCGCCCAAAGAUGCUGGGUGGGAACCGGAUCCAGCUGAAAAAUCUGAGUGAGAAGGUUUCAGGCCCAGGAGGACUUGAGAUAAUACAGGAAAAUUCAAGAGGCUGAAAUGAGAAGGGUCCCUGGAGUCUUGUGAAAAAUUAUUAAUUUAUCUUGUCUUCUGUGCAUAGGCCUGUGCUUAUAGAAGUUGUCAAUAAAAAAUCUAAUAAUUCAUGAAUACACACAACUAAGAGCACAAGAACUGUAAUUAUCGAAGGAAGGCACUGGAAAAAGCAUGUCGGCUUGGAGAGCCCCAAGUACUUUUGUCUGAUGGCAAAGUACCUCUGGGCUGAACUGAGGACUUCAACUGGAAGGGGCAGGGAGCUUCUCUUUUGCUCGUUUAUGCAUUCAUUCCACAGACAUUUCAACCAUGAGAAGGUUGGAGACAGGAAUAAUGUCCCGAUGAGAUGAGAAGAAGCGUUGGCCUAUUUGCCUUUGUGGGAGCAAUAGACAGAGGGUGUCUUCCUGUAAGAAAUCACAAGGCCAGGCACGGUGGCUCACACCUAUAAUCCCAACAUGUUGGAAAGCUGAGGCAGGAGGAUCACUUGAGGCCAGGAGUUCAAGACCAGCCUAGGCAACAUAGUGAGACCCCAUCUCUAUAAAAAAAAAAAAUUAGCCAGGCAUGGUGGCCCAUCCUGGUAGCCCAUCCUGGUAGCCCCAGCUACACUGGAGGAUGAGGUGGGAGGAUCGCUUGAGCCCAAGAGGUUGAAGCUGCACUCCAGCCUGGGCGACAGCAAGACCUUGUCUCAAAAGUAAAUAAAUAAAUAAAUAAAUAAAUAAAUCACAAAGAGUAGCUGGUUAAAAGAUCCCUAGAUCUCCUUUCUUGGGAUCAUGCCCAGUUUUGUGACCUUGGGUUAGUUAACUUCCCUGUGGCUCAUUUCCUCAUCUGUAAAAUGAAGAAAAUAAUAGUGCCCGCCGGGCGCGGUGGCUCACGCCUGUAAUCCCAGCACUUUGGGAGGCCGAGGCGGGCGGAUCACGAGGUCAGGAGAUGGAGACCAUCCUGGCUAACACGGUGAAACCCCAUCUCCACCAAAAAUACAAAAAAUUAGCUGUGCGUGGUGGCGGGCGCCUGUAGUCCCAAUUACUCGGGAGGCUGAGAAUGGCGUGCACCCAGGAGGCGGAGCUUGGAGUGAGCCGAGAUUGCGCCACUGCACUCCAGCCUGGGUGACAGAGCGAGACUCCGUCUCAAAAAAAAAAAAGAAAGAAAAUAAUAGUGCCCCACUCUAUUGUGGCCUGUUGUGGGAUUAAAGGAGUGAAUAUGAGUAAAGUACUUCCAGGUUUAUUAGAGGGCACUAUACGUAUGUAUGUGUGUGUAUAUAUAUACACACACACACAUAUAUAUGUCAUAUAUAUGUCUCAUAUAGAUGUCCCACAUAUAUGUCUCAUAUAGAUGUCCCACAUAUAUGUCUCAUAUAGAUGUCCCACAUAUAUGUCUCAUAUAGAUGUCCCACAUAUAUGUCUCAUAUAGAUGUCCCACAUAUAUGUCUCAUAUAGAUGUCCCACAUAUAUGUCUCAUAUAGAUGUCCCACAUAUAUGUCUCAUAUAGAUGUCCCACAUAUAUGUCUCAUAUAGAUGUCCUAUAUAUGUGUGUGUGUAUAUAUAUAUAUGUGUGUGUGUAUAUAUAUAUGUGUGUGUGUGUAUAUAUAUAUGUGUAUAUAUUUGUAUAUAUAUGUGUAUAUAUAUGUGUAUAUAUAUGUGUAUAUAUAUGUAUAUAUAUAUGUCUUGGCUAAUUUGAGACCAUCUUUUGUCUAGAUCUUCAGAGCAUGGGAUAAACAGAUUUGAGAGAAGCUUGUGAAGUACUGAAAGUGAUAAAGAACUUGGUCUUGAGCUGGUGACCUUGUUAGUUAUCCUCUCUGUACCUCAGUUUUCUCAUCUGUAAAAUGGAGAUGCCAAUAUCUGCUGUUGGAUGCCAAUAUCUACUACAAGGUUGUUGUUAUGCAUAUUAAGUAAUAUAAUGCAUGCAAAAUGCUUAGCACAGUGCCUGGCAUAUAAUAAGCAACCAAUUAGUGGAUUCUGUGGUUAUUUUUGUGAGGCUAUGAAGAAACUGAAAGCUGAGGACAAGUAGCCUAGGCUAGGUACCUAGGAUGAGAAAUCCCUGAACAUGAGCCCAGUUAUUCUUCCAGCAAACACUUAUUUUAUUGUAGUAAGAUAUAUAUAACAUAAAAAUUACUAUUUUAACCAUUUUUAAGUGUACAAUUCACUGGUAUUAAACACAUUCACAUUGCUGUGUAACCACCACCACUAUUCAUCUACAGAAAUUUUGUUAUCCAAACAGAAACUCUGUAUCCAUUAAACACUAACUCCCCAGUACUCCCUUCCCCAGCCCCUGGUAACCACUAUUCUAAUUUUGUCUCUAAGAAUUUGACUAUUCUAAGUACCUCAUGUAAGUGUAAUUAUACAAUAUUUGUUUUUUGUAUCUGACUUAUUUCACUUAGCACAAUGUUUUCAAGGUUAAUCUAUGUUGCAACAAUGUCAGAAUUUCUUUUCUUUUUAAGGUAAAUAAUAUUCCAUGGUAUGUAUAUACUACAUUUUUUUUAUCUAUUCAUCUGCCCAUGGACAUUUGGAUUGUUUCCACCUUUUGGCUAUUGUGAAUAAUGCUACUAAUCUGUCAUGGGAUUAGAGUGAGAAAGAAAGAAUAAAAAAAUAAUGCUGCUGUCAA
This 3351-nucleotide long non-coding RNA is filed under the name Pan troglodytes (chimpanzee). RNAcentral describes it as "bidirectional promoter lncRNA". Lineage: Eukaryota; Metazoa; Chordata; Mammalia; Primates; Hominidae. The record is from RNAcentral.